RNAcentral lists this ribosomal RNA (744 nucleotides) under uncultured bacterium. RNAcentral's name for it is "bacterial SSU rRNA". It matches the Rfam family "Bacterial small subunit ribosomal RNA", at positions 8 to 796 of the family's 1533-position model. The record is from RNAcentral.
AGAGUUUGAUCAUGGCUCAGAACGAACGCUGGCGGCAGGCCUAACACAUGCAAGUCGAACGCCUGUAGCAAUACAGGAGUGGCGCACGGGUGAGUAACGCGUGGGAAUCUGCCCUUCGGUACGGAAUAACCGCGGGAAACUGCGGCUAAUACCGUAUACGCCCUCAGGGGGAAAGCUCCGGCGCCGAAGGAUGAGCCCGCGUCCGAUUAGCUUGUUGGCGGGGUAAAAGCCCACCAAGGCGACGAUCGGUAGCUGGUCUGAGAGGAUGAUCAGCCACACUGGAACUGAGACACGGUCCAGACUCCUACGGGAGGCAGCAGUGGGGAAUAUUGGACAAUGGGGGCAACCCUGAUCCAGCCAUGCCGCGUGAGUGAAGAAGGCCCUAGGGUUGUAAAACUCUUUCGGCGGGGAAGAUGAUGACGGUACCCGCAGAAGAAGCCCCGGCUAACUUCGUGCCAGCAGCCGCGGUAAUACGAAGGGGGCUAGCGUUGUUCGGAAUUACUGGGCGUAGAGGGCGUGUAGGCGGCUCACUAAGUCACGUGUGAAAGCCCCGGGCUUAACCCGGGAAUUGCGCGUGAGACUGGUGAGCUAGAAUCCGGGAGAGGGUAGUGGAAUUCCCAGUGUAGAGGUGAAAUUCGUAGAUAUUGGGAAGAACACCAGUGGCGAAGGCGGCUACCUGGACCGGUAUUGACGCUAAGGCGCGAAAGCGUGGGGAGCAAACAGGAUUAGAUACCCUAGUAGUCC